AUGAUUGUGCAAAGACUAGAAAGCAUACAAAUUAUUGGAGAAAUACCAAUGAAACAUUGGGAUAAAAACUCUAUAGUUUGCAAAAUAAAUAUCAUAAAUCCAGAUUAUAUAAUUAAGUCAGGACCAAUAGAAGCUACUCCUAAAGAUAUAGAAGAAUUCAAAAUGCAUAUUGAAGAGUUAUUAAAGUUAAAAGCUAUAAGAGAAAGCAGAAGUCCUUAUCGGCCUGCUGCAUUCAUAGUUAGAAAUCAUGCUGAAGAAGUAAGAGGUAAAUCCAGAAUGGUAAUUAAUUUUAAAAGGCUUAAUGAUAAUAUAGUUGACGAUGCAUACAAUAUACCUAAUAAGCAUGAAUGGAUUAACAGAAUACAAGGAAGUAAAUAUUUCUCUAAAUUCGACUUAAAGGCAGGAUUUUGGCAAGUAAAAAUGGCUGAAGAAUCUAUUCCUUGGACAGCAUUUACUUGUCCACAAGGCCAU
Molecule: ribosomal RNA, 471 nt
Filed under: Triticum aestivum (bread wheat)
Lineage: Eukaryota; Viridiplantae; Streptophyta; Magnoliopsida; Poales; Poaceae
Description: partial small subunit ribosomal RNA
Source: RNAcentral